UACAGAGGGUGCGAGCGUUAAUCGGAAUUACUGGGCGUAAAGCGCGCGUAGGCGGCUUUGCAAGUCGGGUGUGAAAUCCCCAGGCUUAACCUGGGAACUGCAUUCGAGACUGCAUUGCUAGAGUAUGGGAGAGGGAAGUGGAAUUUCCGGUGUAGCGGUGAAAUGCGUAGAUAUCGAGAGGAACACCUGCGGCGAAGGCGGGUUGCUGGGCUGACACUGACGCUGAGGCGCGAAAGCUAGGGGAGCGAACGGG
Molecule: ribosomal RNA, 253 nt
Filed under: uncultured bacterium
Lineage: Bacteria
Description: partial 16S ribosomal RNA
Rfam family: Bacterial small subunit ribosomal RNA
Source: RNAcentral